CUGGCUCAGAUUGAACGCUGGCGGCAGGCUUAACACAUGCAAGUCGAGCGGGGAAGGGUAGCUUGCUACCUGACCUAGCGGCGGACGGGUGAGUAAUGCUUAGGAAUCUGCCUAUUAGUGGGGGACAACAUUCCGAAAGGAAUGCUAAUACCGCAUACGCCCUACGGGGGAAAGCAGGGGAUCUUCGGACCUUGCGCUAAUAGAUGAGCCUAAGUCAGAUUAGCUAGUUGGUGGGGUAAAGGCCUACCAAGGCGACGAUCUGUAGCGGGUCUGAGAGGAUGAUCCGCCACACUGGGACUGAGACACGGCCCAGACUCCUACGGGAGGCAGCAGUGGGGAAUAUUGGACAAUGGGCGCAAGCCUGAUCCAGCCAUGCCGCGUGUGUGAAGAAGGCCUUUUGGUUGUAAAGCACUAUAAGCGAGGAGGAGGCUACUUGGAUUAAUACUCUAGGAUAGUGGACGUUACUCGCAGAAUAAGCACCGGCUAACUCUGUGCCAGCAGCCGCGGUAAUACAGAGGGUGCGAGCGUUAAUCGGAUUUACUGGGCGUAAAGCGUGCGUAGGCGGCUUCUUAAGUCGGAUGUGAAAUCCCUGAGCUUAACUUAGGAAUUGCAUUCGAUACUGGGAAGCUAGAGUAUGGGAGAGGAUGGUAGAAUUCCAGGUGUAGCGGUGAAAUGCGUAGAGAUCUGGAGGAAUACCGAUGGCGAAGGCAGCCAUCUGGCCUAAUACUGACGCUGAGGUACGAAAGCAUGGGGAGCAAACAGGAUUAGAUACCCUGGUAGUCC
Molecule: ribosomal RNA, 783 nt
Filed under: bacterium C33
Lineage: Bacteria
Description: bacterial SSU rRNA
Rfam family: Bacterial small subunit ribosomal RNA
Source: RNAcentral